Molecule: small RNA, 1504 nt
Filed under: Pongo abelii (Sumatran orangutan)
Lineage: Eukaryota; Metazoa; Chordata; Mammalia; Primates; Hominidae
Description: processed transcript
Source: RNAcentral
CGGUGUGGGUGAGUUGGCUGCCGGUGGAGUCGUGUUGGUGCUCAGAAUCCCCGCGUAGCCGCUGCCUCGUCCUACCCUCGCCAUGUUUCUCACUCGGUCUGAGUACGACAGGGGCGUGAAUACUUUUUCUCCCGAAGGAAGAUUAUUUCAAGUGGAAUAUGCCAUUGAGGCUAUCAAGCUUGGUUCUACAGCCAUUGGGAUCCAGACAUCAGAGGGUGUGUGCCUAGCUGUGGAGAAGAGAAUUACUUCCCCACUGAUGGAGCCCAGCAGCAUUGAGAAAAUUGUAGAGAUUGAUGCUCACAUAGGUUGUGCCAUGAGUGGGCUAAUUGCUGAUGCUAAGACUUUAAUUGAUAAAGCCAGAGUGGAGACACAGGUAAAAUUGGCAUUAUCUCCUUUUUACCAGGAUGCUUGAGUUCUUUGUUUAGUGAUUAUCUAGCUGCCUGGGCUAUACUGCAGUUGCCUGUGUCAAUAUUAGAUGUGGCUCUUAGGAGUAAUUUUGGGUAGAAUUCCCAGUUAGAACUUUCUGGGGCUUGGAGUUUAGCUGUCCGAUCAUUGCAGUUUUAAAGAGGCUCUGGUCAGCUGACAGUGUCUUCCUUUUUUUUUUUUUGGCUUUGCCUAUAUAUAAAGCAUACAUUGCAAUGCAUUGUUUCCUAAUUGACUUUCUGUGGGAGCAUCAUGGCAGGAGGUGGACAUAGUUAAAGGAUAUUCUCCCUUCAGCUGCCUUUGCUGCCAGGCUUGCAAAUAACAGCCCUCCUUUGGUGAGUAAUAACUUGUACCAACUGACAAAUACUGGUCAGGGAUACUGUUUUUUUUAAAAAAAAAAAACUUUGUAGCUGCUGCUUGGAGAUAGGCUAGUAAGAAAAAUAUAUCACACAGUAAAAUUUUUUGCACUUAUUUGCAAGUUUGCUGUCUGUACUUAUGUAAGAAUAAGUCAUUUAACUUAAACAUCAAUAGAAUAAGCUAGAGUCUUUCAGGGAAAGAGGCACUUUUAGUUUUUGAAAGAGUAAACUUGGUGCUUUGAGGCAUAACCCUCUUUUUCAAGGCAGUGAUUCUCUUGUCUGUCGUUGCUUAGAGUCCUUGUGAUAUGUUUAUUUCCAGAGCUAUUUCUCUUCCUCUCAUGUACUCCCAAGUACUCAGGGUUAAUGUUAAUUAAGAAAACCACAUUUGAGCCUUCAGUUUUCAAUCCCAGUUUAAAGGGAUGUGCGUAGUGAGAUGGUGGGCUGCUUUAAUGUCCUUAUUAGAAGGUUGUACCAUGCUUUGCUCUUCUUCUAGAACCACUGGUUCACCUACAAUGAGACAAUGACAGUGGAGAGUGUGACCCAAGCUGUGUCCAAUCUGGCUCUCCAGUUUGGAGAAGAAGAUGCAGAUCCAGGUGCCAUGGUGAGUGUGAUACUUGUGUUGAGUUUUCUUAUUGUUCUGUAGGACUUAGGACAUUUGUCCUGUGAACAUAACAUUCCCAGCCCCUCUCACCUCCUUACUUUAUAGCCAUUUAUCUUAAUAUCUC